Long non-coding RNA from Gasterosteus aculeatus aculeatus (three-spined stickleback), 421 nucleotides. NCBI's taxonomy places the organism in Eukaryota, Metazoa, Chordata, Actinopteri, Perciformes, Gasterosteidae. The record is from Ensembl.
GCUGCCUUCGCUGUUGGGGCUUUACUGUUGCGUCAAGGCUCUGCUAUUCAUCCCAUGUGCUUCCCACAGUAUUACACGGGCUGAGCUGAGCAGUGUGGCUAUGACUGGACUACCCACGAUGUGCCUCUGGGGAAUAAUGAACCGCCUCUCCUCACAGCGAGCUGUUUUUGCGAGAGACAACGCGCUUUGAUGUGGAUGACGGAGGUGAGGCGUCCCUGUCCCCAGAUGCCCAGACGGUGCGGUUAAGGGGGCUUUAUCGCACUGCAGACAGGAGACCAGCACUCACCCACAGCCGCCCCAUCUUUCACCGCGGCCCGAAGGCCGAAUGUGACAACCGAUGCUCCCCAGCUGCUGCGGGUGGGGGGAGGGGGGGCAGGCCCCCAAAACCACAGACGAAUAAUGAAUGCCACACCAUCGUGAC